GUUGAACGCUGGCGGCGUGCCUAACACAUGCAAGUCGAGCGAAUGAAGGAGACUUUCGCCUGUAUGCAGCUGCGGACGGGUGGGUAAGGCCUAGGAGGCUACCUUAUCGUUGAGAAUGGCGUCCGUAAAGGGGCGCGAAUACCGCAUACGUCAUUAUUUAGAACGGGAGGGAUCUUAGGACCUCGCGCUAUCAGAUGAGCCUAGGUCGUAUUAGCUAGUUGGUUGGGUAAAGGCCUACCAAGGCGACGAUCCGUAACUGGUCUGAGAGGAUGAUCAGUCACACUGGAACUGAGACACGGUCCAGACUCCUACGGGAGGCAGCAGUGGGGAAUCUUCGACAAUGGGCGAAAGCCUGACGCAGCAACGCCGCGUGUGUGAAGAAGGUCUUCGGAUCGUAAAGCACUUUAAGUAGGGAGGAAGGUAAGUAAGUUAAUCUCUUGACGUCUUGACGUUACCAAAAGAAUAAGCAACGGCUAACUUCGUG
This 484-nucleotide ribosomal RNA is filed under the name uncultured bacterium. Its description in RNAcentral is "partial 16S ribosomal RNA". It matches the Rfam family "Bacterial small subunit ribosomal RNA", at positions 28 to 507 of the family's 1533-position model. The record is from RNAcentral.